RNAcentral lists this ribosomal RNA (109 nucleotides) under Burkholderia sp. 1.12.61. Its description in RNAcentral is "partial 16S ribosomal RNA". The record is from RNAcentral. Lineage: Bacteria; Pseudomonadati; Pseudomonadota; Betaproteobacteria; Burkholderiales; Burkholderiaceae.
UACACAUGCAAGUCGAACGGCAGCACGGGUGCUUGCACCUGGUGGCGAGUGGCGAACGGGUGAGUAAUACAUCGGAACAUGUCCUGUANUGGGGGAUAGCCCGGCGAAA